CAACUGCACUGAUAGUCCAGAAAACUCAACGAUAUGAUCGUCGUCUUCUGCUUAAUGUUCAACAUGAUUCACGUUUUAGGCUCUUCCCUCAGCGAUCGGGUCCGUCAGACUCCGGCUGAGAUGUUCCACGAGCCCGGAGAAAACGCCACCAUCAGCUGCACACACGGAAUCGACAACUACGAUGUAAUCCUCUGGUACAAACACUCAACGAGCCGCCAGAUGCAGCUCCUGGGAUACAACGAUGUCGUUAACGGAUACCCAGAGCCGGGAGCCAAGGUGAAAAUCAGUGGCAGCGCAAGCAAAGACAAGAACAGCACUCUGACGUUGGAGCGUCUGAGCAUGAGCAGCAGCGCCGUUUAUUUCUGCGCCGCUAGAUACCACAGUGCUUCACGUCGACGCUCCCCAGCACAAAAACCUCGAGUUGAAUCUUUUUGAUGUCAUAUCUGUUUUUGGAGCCGUGUUGCUUCCUUUCAUGAGGCGGCGGUGUAUCGUCACAGACGGCCUCAGUGCUGAGGAGAAACUGAAGCUCCUCCUCCUUCAUGAUGAUUUGAUAAAAGGAACAUCUGAUAAAACACUAAUAAUCAGUCCACUCGGAUACACUGGCAGCACCUUUCUGCCUCUUUAACAGAGGGAGGCUGUUCUUGGUUGGAGCAUUUAUUCGGUUCUGUUUCCAGGCGACGCUAC
Non-coding RNA from Gambusia affinis (western mosquitofish), 684 nucleotides. The record is from the annotation of a RefSeq genome assembly. NCBI's taxonomy places the organism in Eukaryota, Metazoa, Chordata, Actinopteri, Cyprinodontiformes, Poeciliidae.